UACGGAGGGUGCAAGCGUUAAUCGGAAUUACUGGGCGUAAAGCGUGCGCAGGCGGUUUUGUAAGUCUGUCGUGAAAGCCCCGGGCUUAACCUGGGAAUUGCGAUGGAGACUGCAAGGCUUGAAUCUGGCAGAGGGGGGUAGAAUUCCACGUGUAGCAGUGAAAUGCGUAGAGAUGUGGAGGAACACCGAUGGCGAAGGCAGCCCCCUGGGUCAAGAUUGACGCUCAUGCACGAAAGCGUGGGGAGCAAACAGG
RNAcentral lists this ribosomal RNA (253 nucleotides) under uncultured bacterium. Its description in RNAcentral is "partial 16S ribosomal RNA". It matches the Rfam family "Bacterial small subunit ribosomal RNA", at positions 524 to 776 of the family's 1533-position model. The record is from RNAcentral.